CAGCCGCCGCGGGAAUACAGAGGGUGCGAGCGUUAAUCGGAUUUACUGGGCGUAAAGCGUGCGUAGGCGGCUUUUUAAGUCGGAUGUGAAAUCCCUGAGCUUAACUUAGGAAUUGCAUUCGAUACUGGGAAGCUAGAGUAUGGGAGAGGAUGGUAGAAUUCCAGGUGUAGCGGUGAAAUGCGUAGAGAUCUCGAGGAAUACCGAUGGCGAAGGCAGCCAUCUGGCCUAAUACUGACGCUGAGGUACGAAAGCAUGGGGAGCAAACAGGAUUAGAUACCCCGGUAGUCCCUGUCUCUUAUAC
Molecule: ribosomal RNA, 301 nt
Filed under: uncultured bacterium
Lineage: Bacteria
Description: partial 16S ribosomal RNA
Rfam family: Bacterial small subunit ribosomal RNA
Source: RNAcentral